Molecule: ribosomal RNA, 693 nt
Filed under: uncultured Clostridium sp.
Lineage: Bacteria; Bacillati; Bacillota; Clostridia; Eubacteriales; Clostridiaceae
Description: bacterial SSU rRNA
Rfam family: Bacterial small subunit ribosomal RNA
Source: RNAcentral
UGGCGGCGUGCCUAACACAUGCAAGUCGAGCGAUCUUCUUCGGAAGAGAGCGGCGGACGGGUGAGUAACGCGUGGGUAACCUGCCCUGUACACACGGAUAACAUACCGAAAGGUAUGCUAAUACGGGAUAACAUAAGAAAGUCGCAUGGAUUUCUUAUCAAAGCUUUUGCGGUACAGGAUGGACCCGCGUCUGAUUAGCUAGUUGGUAAGGUAACGGCUUACCAAGGCGACGAUCAGUAGCCGACCUGAGAGGGUGAUCGGCCACAUUGGAACUGAGACACGGUCCAAACUCCUACGGGAGGCAGCAGUGGGGAAUAUUGCACAAUGGGCGAAAGCCUGAUGCAGCAACGCCGCGUGAGCGAUGAAGGCCUUCGGGUCGUAAAGCUCUGUCCUCAAGGAAGAUAAUGACGGUACUUGAGGAGGAAGCCCCGGCUAACUACGUGCCAGCAGCCGCGGUAAUACGUAGGGGGCUAGCGUUAUCCGGAAUUACUGGGCGUAAAGGGUGCGUAGGCGGUCUUUCAAGUCAGAAGUGAAAGGCUACGGCUCAACCGUAGUAAGCUUUUGAAACUGUAAGACUUGAGUGCAGGAGAGGAGAGUGGAAUUCCUAGUGUAGCGGUGAAAUGCGUAGCAUAUUAGGAGGAACACCAGUUGCGAAGGCGGCUCUCUGGACUGUAACUGACGCUGAGGCACGAA